Molecule: unclassified non-coding RNA, 309 nt
Organism: Cricetulus griseus (Chinese hamster)
Lineage: Eukaryota; Metazoa; Chordata; Mammalia; Rodentia; Cricetidae
Gene: 7SK
Rfam family: 7SK RNA
About the family: 7SK was discovered as an abundant small nuclear RNA in the mid-70s but a possible function has only recently been suggested. Two independent studies have found that 7SK RNA binds the CDK9/cyclin T complex (known as elongation factor P-TEFb). P-TEFb activates transcription by phosphorylating the C-terminal domain of RNA polymerase II.
Source: Ensembl
GGAUAUGAGGGGAUCACACUGCAGUAUCUGUUACCCCACUGAUUGUCUGGGUUAAUUUGCUGUCCAGGCAGGUGUCCCCUUCUUCCCUUUCUGCUUUUUCCCUCCUGAAGCUGAGCACUCAGGCAGUCAAAGAGGACAACCAACCCCCCAAAAGGAGGAUUGCUCUUGGGUCAAGGGUACAUGAGGAGCUGUGCUCCCUGAUAGAACAUCCAAACAAACUAAGUUUGCAUUUCAAAAACCUGAACAACUAUCCUAGAUCUGAAAAGUCAAGUCUAUCCCUCUAUGAAAUAUAGUAUAGUAUAUUUCCUU